UAGAUGUUGUCUUUGAUGGGUAUGGGACUAGUGGCACGUACAUUUGCUCGUGACUAGAUCCACACUCAUUAAAGACGACAUUUA
Molecule: non-coding RNA, 84 nt
Organism: Agrilus planipennis (emerald ash borer)
Lineage: Eukaryota; Metazoa; Arthropoda; Insecta; Coleoptera; Buprestidae
Source: Rfam